AAUGAACGUUGGCGGCGUGGAUUAGGCAUGCAAGUCGAGCGCUCAUAGCAAUAUGGGAGCGGCGAACGGCGUAGUAAUAUGUAGGAACGUACCCUCGGGUCGGGGAUAGCCAUGGGAAACUGUGGGUAAUACCCGAUAAUCUCUGCGGAGCAAAGGUGUGAUUCCGCCUGAGGAGCGGCCUACACGAUAUUAGCUAGUUGGUAGGGUAAUGGCCUACCAAGGCUACGAUGUCUAGGGGGUGUGAGAGCAUGGCCCCCACGACCGGAACUGAGAUACUGUCCGGACACCUACGGGUGGCUGCAGUCGAGAAUCUUCCGCAAUGGACGAAAGUCUGACGGAGCGACGCCGCGUGCGGGAUGAAGGCCCUUGGGUUGUAAACCGCUGUCAGAGGGGAUGAAAUCUUCGGAGGUGCUCCUCCAAAGUUGACAGAGCCUCAAAGGAGCACGGGCUAAGUACGUGCCAGCAGCCGCGG
This 472-nucleotide ribosomal RNA is filed under the name uncultured bacterium. Its description in RNAcentral is "bacterial SSU rRNA". It matches the Rfam family "Bacterial small subunit ribosomal RNA", at positions 29 to 520 of the family's 1533-position model. The record is from RNAcentral.